CUCCUCGUAGUGUAACGGAUAGCACGUAAGAUUCCGGUUCUUAAGAUAGAGGUUCGACUCCUCUCGAGGGGGC
This 73-nucleotide transfer RNA is filed under the name Mycobacteroides abscessus subsp. abscessus. RNAcentral describes it as "tRNA-Arg(ccg)". It matches the Rfam family "tRNA". From Rfam's summary of the family: Transfer RNA (tRNA) molecules are approximately 80 nucleotides in length. Their secondary structure includes four short double-helical elements and three loops (D, anti-codon, and T loops). Lineage: Bacteria; Bacillati; Actinomycetota; Actinomycetes; Mycobacteriales; Mycobacteriaceae. The record is from RNAcentral.